Molecule: long non-coding RNA, 2511 nt
Filed under: Carassius auratus (goldfish)
Lineage: Eukaryota; Metazoa; Chordata; Actinopteri; Cypriniformes; Cyprinidae
Description: lncRNA (ENSCARG00000032813.1)
Source: RNAcentral
GUUCGUUGUUAGUUUCUGUAUUAAUCAACAGCAUCUGUGACAGUUUAAGAUGUAUAACCUAGAAUAUUAUUUUAAUAUACACAUUCAACCCACUUUAUUCCUAAACCAACUCCAGUGCUGUUCCUCUCAUGGUCAGUGGUGCAGGUCAAAGGUCCAGUCUGGGCUUCUUAUCUACAGCGUUCUAUUUUCCAGUGAGUUUAAUGGAGACAGGUAACCAUAACCUGAACAGAUCAUUUAAACAGCUACCCCUACCACUUGACACCAUAAAACCCGCAGCCGCCAAAAAGAAAAGCUUCUGGCUCCAUGACAGCUUGUGUGGUUACACUGGAAGGUAACGCACACCUCUCACCUUCGUCCGCGUUAUAUUCCAUUGACCCUAUUAGUAUACAGCAGGGCCUAUCUUUUCCAUUGUCAGACGAGUAUUGUUGGAUGGGUGGGUUUCAUGUGGCCACAUUUUUUAAAGCAUUGGCAAAAUGGCCUCAUUAUAUGCUAAGUGCAUGUUUGUAUUAAACUGCUUAAAUUGAUAUUCACCCAGCUGUAGUGGCCACAUACAGUAUGACUCAAAAUCUGCAUCUAACUUAAAGGGUUGGUUCACCCAAAAAUAAUUUAUCAUACUCAUGUUCUUCCAAACUUGUAUGCAUUUCUUCCUUCUGUGGAACUCAAUUUUUUUUUUUUUUUUUUUUUUUUUUUUUAGAAAAAAUGUGUUUUAGAACUGAACUUUCUUCAAAAUAUAUUAUUUUGUGUCCCACAGAAGAAAGAAUAAAGGGUUUUGGCCAACCUGAGGGUGAUUAAAUGAUUUUGGUUUUUGUGAACUAUCCCUUUACAUAUAUUUGAUAAAAAAUAAAAAUAAAAAUGCCUCUAUUUUAAGUAUACUCUUCUCAGAAAGAGUUAAGCUACACAAUUGUAAUAUUUUUGUGCUGCCUUUGUUACCUGCAUCCCAUGCACUCUGCACCUUUUUUUUAUUUAUUAUUUAUUGUGCUUCUUUAUAUUUAUUUCCUACAUUAUUCAACUGUAACUGCAACAUCCUAGUGAAAGAAAAGGAAACUAACAUCUUUACCUGUUUAAUGACAGUAAGCUUGCAUUGACUUUGACAUUUUUGACAUUGAUAUAUAUAUAUGUUAUAUAGAGAUGGCAGGAUGGACAAAAGUUACAAGUGACAGAAACUUCUGUCCUUAUCCUGUAGUGCUUUGUCUGGGGAAGAUGCUGAAGUUAUGUAAAUGCACCACAGACAGAGAUGACAUCUAUAUCCUUCAGCUGCGUGUGUGUGUGUGUGUGUGUGCUCGCAUGUGUCUAGAAGAUUGAUCACCAAUGUGCGGGAAAGUGUCCCCACAUGCAUCACAGGUACAAAGUCAUUGUUUUGUAUCAAGUACCCUAGGGCAGGUGCAUGUGUAAAGGCACAUUACAUACUUUAUUUGUUAGAUUGUUUGCAUCCACUGGCUUGCAUCACAGAAAUAUUAGGAGACAAUAUGCUAUAGAUGUCUUAGUUUACAAGUCAGAUGAUUUAAAGCAGCACACCCAAAAAUGAAAACGCUCAUUUACUCCCUCUCAUGUCAUUCCAAACCUGUAUAGCUUUCUUUCCUUUGUGGAAAUCCAAAGAAAACAUUUUGAGAAAUAUCUGUUAGUUUUGGGUCCAUAAAUUUGAAGUCAAUGGUCUCCAAAACAUUCUUCAAAAUAUCUUAUUUUAUGUUCCACAGAAGAACAAGUCAUGCAAGUUGCAAAGACAUGAAAGUGAAUAAAUAAUGAAAGAAUUUUUAUUUUUGGGCAAUUAUCUCUUUAAAUUUAAAAUGUUUAUUUUAGAACUGUGCUUUUACCAAUCAGGCAAUAUCUUAUUAAAGGGUCAGUAUCCCUUUAAAUAUUUGAAGAAAUUGAACUUGCCAAUAUAUUGAUUAUAAUAUUUCAAAAAGAGAUUAAAAUGUACUAAUACAAUAAUUUAAAGAGACUUACUUACCCAUAUAUACUAGUCAAAAACUUUUGAACCAUCAUUCAUUCCAAAAUUCAACAUCACAUCAAACAACAAACUAUUUCUAAUCUUCAUCUCAAUCCUAAAUUCUUAAAGCUAAAUACAGCUAAAGUAUAAAUAAUCAAAUUUCACAGCACAUAUUGUAUAAAACAAUGUGGCUUGCCAGAGAGAACACAUAACAGUCUAGCUUUCUAAACUUCUGUAACAGCUCCAUUCAUAUCCAUUAAAUUUGAUCCACACUCUUACUUAUAUCUUCUCUAAAAAACAGAAUCCAAGCGUCCAACAUUACAUGCUUAAGCACAUUCAUAAAACCAAACACGGACAAACGCUCAAUGAAAUACCCACCAGGGAAAACCUCUGUGGCAGGACGGUCCUUCUGUGAGCGUUGUGAUCCAGGAUGAGUAUGGCUCCUCUUUGUGCCUCUGUCCCUCUCUAGUCUUGCUCCUCUUCUCUGCCUACGUUACAAUCAGAUUUCUGCACACCCUUUUCUUCUGUUUAAGCUCUCUCUCUUUCAGUAAUCUUAUUCCUCCUGAGUAACUUGAGACCCACGA